AAAAGGAAAGUGUAAGCGUGACGUUGUAGUAGAAGUUUAAACAAUCUUAGCACUUAAUAAACAUGUCGUUUAGUGAUGAUUGAAAUGAAAGCACACACACAUAU
Molecule: long non-coding RNA, 104 nt
Organism: Populus euphratica (Euphrates poplar)
Lineage: Eukaryota; Viridiplantae; Streptophyta; Magnoliopsida; Malpighiales; Salicaceae
Exons: 3
Source: RefSeq, a predicted model, not a curated record